UGNUGNNNNUUNNNUGNNNUGGCGGUAUCUUAUCCUUAUAGAGGAACUUGCCCAGUGAUCGAUAGUCCCCGUUUUAUCUUACUUCUAUUAAUGUUUGUAUACCGUUGUUGUUAGAUCACCUUGCAUAGUUAGUUAGUUUUCUUAAUAGAUCCAGCUUUGCUAGAUCUUUUACUUCAAAUCAAGGUGCAGUUUAUGUAGGAGUUGAGUUGAGUUACCUUGUUUAAGAAACUGGAGAGUAAUAUGAAAUUUUACUUGAAAUAGGAUUUAUUAGUAAGUUAAUAAUAAUUAGAUUAGCUGAAAAGGGGUCUGAGAUAUGUACAAAUCGCCCGUCACUCUGGUUUCUGACAUCAGAUAAGUCGUAACAAAGUAGGAUGAACGGAACUNGCUCCGCC
Molecule: ribosomal RNA, 392 nt
Filed under: Leiobunum relictum
Lineage: Eukaryota; Metazoa; Arthropoda; Arachnida; Opiliones; Sclerosomatidae
Description: partial 12S ribosomal RNA
Source: RNAcentral